GUAGGUGAACCUGCGGAAGGAUCAUUACUAAAUUCCUUCUUUGAAAGGAAUCAAACGCCUCUUCCUUCCCUCGAAGUAAUUUUUGGGGGAUUGGGAGAGCGCAACCCUUCGUGAACUGUUUGAACAGACUUCCCUGGACCAUCAGUCCUCCUCUUAUUCCCCAUCAGUGGUGGGGAAAUCUGGAGGAAGGAUGCCAGGGGCCUUUAUUUAUGAUACCCAUUUAUGUUUUGCUUUAGUGCGUUGUCUUGUU
Molecule: unclassified non-coding RNA, 250 nt
Filed under: plant metagenome
Description: partial contains small subunit ribosomal RNA, internal transcribed spacer 1, and 5.8S ribosomal RNA
Source: RNAcentral